RNAcentral lists this ribosomal RNA (738 nucleotides) under uncultured bacterium. RNAcentral's name for it is "bacterial SSU rRNA". It matches the Rfam family "Bacterial small subunit ribosomal RNA", at positions 49 to 793 of the family's 1533-position model. The record is from RNAcentral.
CUACACAUGCAAGUCGAGCGAAGAGCGAAAAUGAGUUUUCGGACGAAUUUUCAAUCUUAGCGGCGGACGGGUGAGUAACGCGUGAGAAACCUGCCUUGUACUAGGGGACAGCCUCGGGAAACCGGGAUUAAUACCCUAUGAUACUAGAGCUUCACAUGAAGCAUUAGUUAAAGCGUUUAGCGGUGCAAGAUGGUCUCGCGUCCCAUUAGCUAGUUGGUGAGGUAACAGCUCACCAAGGCAACGAUGGGUAGCCGGCCUGAGAGGGUGAACGGCCACAUUGGAACUGAGACACGGUCCAAACUCCUACGGGAGGCAGCAGUGGGGAAUAUUGCACAAUGGGGGAAACCCUGAUGCAGCGACGCCGCGUGAGCGAUGAAGGUCUUCGGAUCGUAAAGCUCUGUCCUAAGGGACGAUAAUGACGGUACCUUAGGAGGAAGCCCCGGCUAACUACGUGCCAGCAGCCGCGGUAAUACGUAGGGGGCUAGCGUUGUCCGGAUUUACUGGGCGUAAAGGGUGCGUAGGCGGUCUUGUAAGUCAGAUGUGAAAUUCCACGGCUUAACUGUGGUAAGCAUUUGAAACUGCAAGGCUUGAGUACAGGAGAGGAGAGUGGAAUUCCUAGUGUAGCGGUGAAAUGCGUAGAUAUUAGGAGGAAUACCAGUGGCGAAAGCGACUCUCUGGACUGUAACUGACGCUGAGCACGAAAGCGUGGGGAGCAAACAGGACUAGAUACCCUGGUAG